GAAACCCUGCGUUGUUCGUAAAGGCUACCGCGUUUCGAGCCAACACCAAUACAAAGGGAGCCUAGCUCUGGGUGUGGCUUGCAGGCCCCACGAGACAGGGGAAGCAAAAAGCAUUCAGGAGGGCACCCACCUGGGAGACCGGGUUCGGGAAACUGCGGAUGCUUACGGCAACGCGGGGUUUUU
Molecule: non-coding RNA, 183 nt
Filed under: Clostridia bacterium
Lineage: Bacteria; Bacillati; Bacillota; Clostridia
Description: 6S RNA
Rfam family: 6S / SsrS RNA
About the family: E. coli 6S RNA was the first non coding RNA to be sequenced, but its function was unknown until recently. It consists of 184 nucleotides that fold into an extended hairpin structure with a large single-stranded internal bulge.
Source: RNAcentral